RNAcentral lists this transfer RNA (76 nucleotides) under Bacteroidota bacterium. RNAcentral describes it as "Bacteroidetes bacterium (marine metagenome) tRNA-Thr". It matches the Rfam family "tRNA". Rfam says of the family: Transfer RNA (tRNA) molecules are approximately 80 nucleotides in length. Their secondary structure includes four short double-helical elements and three loops (D, anti-codon, and T loops). Lineage: Bacteria; Pseudomonadati; Bacteroidota. The record is from RNAcentral.
GCCUCCUUAGCUCAGUUGGUAGAGCGGCUCACUCGUAAUGAGCAGGUCGUCGGUUCAAGUCCGAUGGGAGGCUCCG